This is a non-coding RNA of Desulfosporosinus youngiae DSM 17734, 107 nucleotides long. The record is from Rfam. Lineage: Bacteria; Bacillati; Bacillota; Clostridia; Eubacteriales; Desulfitobacteriaceae.
CUAACCUUUAAAUUAGUCCCGUGAGACUAAGAAGGGAAUGGCGAACCAUGAUUUAUGGAACAUGGACACCUCUUUCUUGCUUGCGGGCGGGGAAGAGGUUUUUUGUU